UGGCUUAUAGCUCAAUGGAAAAUGCUACGCUCCGACAGCGAUGAUGAAAGUUCAAGCCUUUCUAAGCCGA
RNAcentral lists this transfer RNA (70 nucleotides) under Panacibacter microcysteis. It matches the Rfam family "tRNA". Rfam says of the family: Transfer RNA (tRNA) molecules are approximately 80 nucleotides in length. Their secondary structure includes four short double-helical elements and three loops (D, anti-codon, and T loops). The record is from Rfam by way of RNAcentral. Lineage: Bacteria; Pseudomonadati; Bacteroidota; Chitinophagia; Chitinophagales; Chitinophagaceae.